CUGGCUCAGGACGAACGCUGGCGGCGUGCCUAAUACAUGCAAGUCGAACGCGUUUCCGUUAUUGAUUUUAGAUGCUUGCAUUUAAAUGAUUUAACACGAAACGAGUGGCGAACUGGUGAGUAACACGUGGGUAACCUGCCCUUGAAGUAGGGGAUAACACUUGGAAACAGGUGCUAAUACCGUAUAACAACCAAAACCACAUGGUUUUGGUUUAAAAGAUGGCUUCGGCUAUCACUUUAGGAUGGACCCGCGGCGUAUUAGCUUGUUGGUAAGGUAAUGGCCUACCAAGGCAAUGAUACGUAGCCGACCUGAGAGGGUAAUCGGCCACAUUGGGACUGAGACACGGCCCAAACUCCUACGGGAGGCAGCAGUAGGGAAUCUUCCACAAUGGACGAAAGUCUGAUGGAGCAACGCCGCGUGAGUGAUGAAGGGUUUCGGCUCGUAAAACUCUGUUGUUGGAGAAGAACAGGUGUCAGAGUAACUGUUGACAUCUUGACGGUAUCCAACCAGAAAGCCACGGCUAACUACGUGCCAGCAGCCGCGGUAAUACGUAGGUGGCAAGCGUUGUCCGGAUUUAUUGGGCGUAAAGCGAGCGCAGGCGGUUUCUUAGGUCUGAUGUGAAAGCCUUCGGCUUAACCGGAGAAGUGCAUCGGAAACCAGGAGACUUGAGUGCAGAAGAGGACAGUGGAACUCCAUGUGUAGCGGUGAAAUGCGUAGAUAUAUGGAAGAACACCAGUGGCGAAGGCGGCUGUCUGGUCUGUAACUGACGCUGAGGCUCGAAAGCAUGGGUAGCGAAACAGGAUUAGAUACCC
RNAcentral lists this ribosomal RNA (812 nucleotides) under Lentilactobacillus kefiri. RNAcentral's name for it is "bacterial SSU rRNA". It matches the Rfam family "Bacterial small subunit ribosomal RNA", at positions 19 to 787 of the family's 1533-position model. Lineage: Bacteria; Bacillati; Bacillota; Bacilli; Lactobacillales; Lactobacillaceae. The record is from RNAcentral.